GGGAUUGUAGUUCAAUUGGUCAGAGCACCGCCCUGUCAAGGUGGAAGCUGCGGGUUCGACCCCGUCAAUCCCG
RNAcentral lists this transfer RNA (73 nucleotides) under Ipomoea nil (Japanese morning glory). It matches the Rfam family "tRNA". Rfam says of the family: Transfer RNA (tRNA) molecules are approximately 80 nucleotides in length. Their secondary structure includes four short double-helical elements and three loops (D, anti-codon, and T loops). Lineage: Eukaryota; Viridiplantae; Streptophyta; Magnoliopsida; Solanales; Convolvulaceae. The record is from Rfam by way of RNAcentral.